Molecule: transfer RNA, 132 nt
Filed under: Alcanivoracaceae bacterium
Lineage: Bacteria; Pseudomonadati; Pseudomonadota; Gammaproteobacteria; Oceanospirillales; Alcanivoracaceae
Description: tRNA-OTHER
Source: RNAcentral
AGGGAAGUAGUUCAAAGGUAGAGCACCGGAUUUUUUAUACUCUUCGCUGUAGCGUUUAUCUCAGCAMAUAGAGUUCCUUUUUAAAAUCURUGAUUCCGGUUGUUGCUGGUUCGAAUCCAGUCUUCCCUGCCA